This 32-nucleotide non-coding RNA is filed under the name Mus musculus (house mouse). The record is from RNAcentral. Lineage: Eukaryota; Metazoa; Chordata; Mammalia; Rodentia; Muridae.
UAUGCCUCGACCUGGACAUCUUCUUUAGGUGU